CCUACGGGUGGCAGCAGUGGGGAAUAUUGCACAAUGGGCGAAAGCCUGAUGCAGCAACGCCGCGUGAAGGAAGAAGGGUUUCGGCUCGUAAACUUCUAUCAACAGGGACGAAAGAAAUGACGGUACCUGACUAAUAAGCCCCGGCUAACUACGUGCCAGCAGCCGCGGUAAUACGGAGGGGGCAAGCGUUAUCCGGAAUUACUGGGUGUAAAGGGUGAGUAGGCGGCAUGGUAAGCCAGAUGUGAAAGCCUUGGGCUUAACCCGAGGAUUGCAUUUGGAACUAUCAAGCUAGAGUACAGGAGAGGAAAGCGGAAUUCCUAGUGUAGCGGUGAAAUGCGUAGAUAUUAGGAAGAACACCAGUGGCGAAGGCGGCUUUCUGGACUGAAACUGACGCUGAGGCACGAAAGCGUGGGGAGCGAACAGGAUUAGAUACCCCAGUAGUC
RNAcentral lists this ribosomal RNA (443 nucleotides) under uncultured bacterium. RNAcentral's name for it is "partial 16S ribosomal RNA". It matches the Rfam family "Bacterial small subunit ribosomal RNA", at positions 338 to 795 of the family's 1533-position model. The record is from RNAcentral.